AACGAACGCUGGCAGCAUGCCUAACACAUGCAAGUCGAACGAGAUCUUCGGGUCUAGUGGCGCACGGGUGCGUAACGCGUGGGAAUCUGCCCUUUGGUUCGGAAUAACAGUUGGAAACGACUGCUAAUACCGGAUGAUGACGAAAGUCCAAAGAUUUAUCGCCAGAGGAUGAGCCCGCGUAGGAUUAGCUAGUUGGUGUGGUAAAGGCGCACCAAGGCGACGAUCCUUAGCUGGUCUGAGAGGAUGAUCAGCCACAAUGGGACUGAGACACGGCCCAGACUCCUACGGGAGGCAGCAGUGGGAAAUAUUGGACAAUGGGCGAAAGCCUGAACCAGCAAUGCCGCUUGAGUGAUGAAGGCCUUAGGGUUGUAAAGCUCUUUUACCCGGGAUGUUAAUGACAGUACCGGGAGAAUAAGCUCCGGCUAACUCCGUGCCAGCAGCCGCCGUAA
This 449-nucleotide ribosomal RNA is filed under the name uncultured bacterium. Its description in RNAcentral is "partial 16S ribosomal RNA". It matches the Rfam family "Bacterial small subunit ribosomal RNA", at positions 29 to 523 of the family's 1533-position model. The record is from RNAcentral.